RNAcentral lists this ribosomal RNA (2576 nucleotides) under Staphylococcus aureus. Its description in RNAcentral is "partial 23S ribosomal RNA". It matches the Rfam family "Bacterial large subunit ribosomal RNA", at positions 328 to 2910 of the family's 2925-position model. Lineage: Bacteria; Bacillati; Bacillota; Bacilli; Caryophanales; Staphylococcaceae. The record is from RNAcentral.
AUUAGACGAAUCAUCUGGAAAGAUGAAUCAAAGAAGGUAAUAAUCCUGUAGUCGAAAAUGUUGUCUCUCUUGAGUGGAUCCUGAGUACGACGGAGCACGUGAAAUUCCGUCGGAAUCUGGGAGGACCAUCUCCUAAGGCUAAAUACUCUCUAGUGACCGAUAGUGAACCAGUACCGUGAGGGAAAGGUGAAAAGCACCCCGGAAGGGGAGUGAAAUAGAACCUGAAACCGUGUGCUUACAAGUAGUCAGAGCCCGUUAAUGGGUGAUGGCGUGCCUUUUGUAGAAUGAACCGGCGAGUUACGAUUUGAUGCAAGGUUAAGCAGUAAAUGUGGAGCCGUAGCGAAAGCGAGUCUGAAUAGGGCGUUUAGUAUUUGGUCGUAGACCCGAAACCAGGUGAUCUACCCUUGGUCAGGUUGAAGUUCAGGUAACACUGAAUGGAGGACCGAACCGACUUACGUUGAAAAGUGAGCGGAUGAACUGAGGGUAGCGGAGAAAUUCCAAUCGAACCUGGAGAUAGCUGGUUCUCUCCGAAAUAGCUUUAGGGCUAGCCUCAAGUGAUGAUUAUUGGAGGUAGAGCACUGUUUGGACGAGGGGCCCCUCUCGGGUUACCGAAUUCAGACAAACUCCGAAUGCCAAUUAAUUUAACUUGGGAGUCAGAACAUGGGUGAUAAGGUCCGUGUUCGAAAGGGAAACAGCCCAGACCACCAGCUAAGGUCCCAAAAUAUAUGUUAAGUGGAAAAGGAUGUGGCGUUGCCCAGACAACUAGGAUGUUGGCUUAGAAGCAGCCAUCAUUUAAAGAGUGCGUAAUAGCUCACUAGUCGAGUGACACUGCGCCGAAAAUGUACCGGGGCUAAACAUAUUACCGAAGCUGUGGAUUGUCCUUUGGACAAUGGUAGGAGAGCGUUCUAAGGGCGUUGAAGCAUGAUCGUAAGGACAUGUGGAGCGCUUAGAAGUGAGAAUGCCGGUGUGAGUAGCGAAAGACGGGUGAGAAUCCCGUCCACCGAUUGACUAAGGUUUCCAGAGGAAGGCUCGUCCGCUCUGGGUUAGUCGGGUCCUAAGCUGAGGCCGACAGGCGUAGGCGAUGGAUAACAGGUUGAUAUUCCUGUACCACCUAUAAUCGUUUUAAUCGAUGGGGGGACGCAGUAGGAUAGGCGAAGCGUGCGAUUGGAUUGCACGUCUAAGCAGUAAGGCUGAGUAUUAGGCAAAUCCGGUACUCGUUAAGGCUGAGCUGUGAUGGGGAGAAGACAUUGUGUCUUCGAGUCGUUGAUUUCACACUGCCGAGAAAAGCCUCUAGAUAGAAAAUAGGUGCCCGUACCGCAAACCGACACAGGUAGUCAAGAUGAGAAUUCUAAGGUGAGCGAGCGAACUCUCGUUAAGGAACUCGGCAAAAUGACCCCGUAACUUCGGGAGAAGGGGUGCUCUUUAGGGUUAACGCCCAGAAGAGCCGCAGUGAAUAGGCCCAAGCGACUGUUUAUCAAAAACACAGGUCUCUGCUAAACCGUAAGGUGAUGUAUAGGGGCUGACGCCUGCCCGGUGCUGGAAGGUUAAGAGGAGUGGUUAGCUUCUGCGAAGCUACGAAUCGAAGCCCCAGUAAACGGCGGCCGUAACUAUAACGGUCCUAAGGUAGCGAAAUUCCUUGUCGGGUAAGUUCCGACCCGCACGAAAGGCGUAACGAUUUGGGCACUGUCUCAACGAGAGACUCGGUGAAAUCAUAGUACCUGUGAAGAUGCAGGUUACCCGCGACAGGACGGAAAGACCCCGUGGAGCUUUACUGUAGCCUGAUAUUGAAAUUCGGCACAGCUUGUACAGGAUAGGUAGGAGCCUUUGAAACGUGAGCGCUAGCUUACGUGGAGGCGCUGGUGGGAUACUACCCUAGCUGUGUUGGCUUUCUAACCCGCACCACUUAUCGUGGUGGGAGACAGUGUCAGGCGGGCAGUUUGACUGGGGCGGUCGCCUCCUAAAAGGUAACGGAGGCGCUCAAAGGUUCCCUCAGAAUGGUUGGAAAUCAUUCAUAGAGUGUAAAGGCAUAAGGGAGCUUGACUGCGAGACCUACAAGUCGAGCAGGGUCGAAAGACGGACUUAGUGAUCCGGUGGUUCCGCAUGGAAGGGCCAUCGCUCAACGGAUAAAAGCUACCCCGGGGAUAACAGGCUUAUCUCCCCCAAGAGUUCACAUCGACGGGGAGGUUUGGCACCUCGAUGUCGGCUCAUCGCAUCCUGGGGCUGUAGUCGGUCCCAAGGGUUGGGCUGUUCGCCCAUUAAAGCGGUACGCGAGCUGGGUUCAGAACGUCGUGAGACAGUUCGGUCCCUAUCCGUCGUGGGCGUAGGAAAUUUGAGAGGAGCUGUCCUUAGUACGAGAGGACCGGGAUGGACAUACCUCUGGUGUACCAGUUGUCGUGCCAACGGCAUAGCUGGGUAGCUAUGUGUGGACGGGAUAAGUGCUGAAAGCAUCUAAGCAUGAAGCCCCCCUCAAGAUGAGAUUUCCCAACUUCGGUUAUAAGAUCCCUCAAAGAUGAUGAGGUUAAUAGGUUCGAGGUGGAAGCAUGGUGACAUGUGGAGCUGACGAAUACUAAUCGAUC